AGAAGAAGCUGUGCUGGCUGGAGAUGACAAAUCCAAAACUAAUGGUCAUUGGUAGGAACCAUGGGGACGUCCACGGGGGCUUUCGUCCUGCUCUUGUGGCUGUCGCUGCACUGGCUCAGCCAAGGAGAGAAGGUGGAGCAGCAUCGUUCCACGCUGAGUGUCCAGGAGGGAAGAAACUCUGUUAUCACCUGUAGUUACUCAGACAGUAUCUCAAACUACUUCCUUUGGUAUAAGCAAGAAGUUGGGAAAGGUCCUCGGCUCAUUAUGGACAUUCGUUCAAAUGUGGCCAAGAAGGAAGACCAAAGAGUCACUGUUUUAUUGAAUAAGACGGCCAAGCACCUGUCCCUGCACAUCGCAGCCACCCAGCCCGCAGACGCAGCGGUCUACUUCUGUGCAGCAAGUGCACAGUGCGUCCCCGACACCUGCCGCCUGUGCUCAAACCUGCGACUCUGCAGCCCCUGUCCUCUGACACAGACCUUCCAGUAGAGCAUCUGUGC
Non-coding RNA from Suricata suricatta (meerkat), 497 nucleotides. Lineage: Eukaryota; Metazoa; Chordata; Mammalia; Carnivora; Herpestidae. The record is from the annotation of a RefSeq genome assembly.